RNAcentral lists this unclassified non-coding RNA (26 nucleotides) under Mus musculus (house mouse). RNAcentral describes it as "oocyte_clustered_small_RNA6258". The record is from RNAcentral. Lineage: Eukaryota; Metazoa; Chordata; Mammalia; Rodentia; Muridae.
UGUACUCUGUCAUGAAGUUCAGCCAC